GAAUAGGCGCAUAAGCAACAACUUUAGGUAAGUUUUGUCCUUAGCAAAAAUAUGCAUGUGACAAUAGCAACAAUAUAGUAGUACACGCCAGGGCACAUGCUAGAAAGCCACGAAGCUCUGCCUUUUUCUAUUACAAUCACAAAUCCUUAAAGAGACAGUAUACUAGAUUGGUCCACAACUUCACAUAACCUUGUUAGUAGUAGUGCAAAGUACAUCAAGAAUUUGUACUAACUUUAACUUUAAAAUUCCACUAGCUCAGACAACUUCACAUAACCUUGUUAGUAGUAGAGCAACGUACAUCAAGAAUUUGUACUAACUUUAACUUUAAAAUUCCACUAGCUCACAUGCUCGUGGACUCCCAAAAAAAAAAAAGUGAAGAGUACUAGAUAUUUCAUCAAAUUAAACAUUUUACAUUUCCUCAUUAUUCAACCAUACCACA
RNAcentral lists this long non-coding RNA (439 nucleotides) under Lotus japonicus. RNAcentral's name for it is "long non-coding RNA (LJAP_LNC000565)". Lineage: Eukaryota; Viridiplantae; Streptophyta; Magnoliopsida; Fabales; Fabaceae. The record is from RNAcentral.